RNAcentral lists this ribosomal RNA (916 nucleotides) under uncultured crenarchaeote. Its description in RNAcentral is "SSU rRNA". It matches the Rfam family "Archaeal small subunit ribosomal RNA", at positions 13 to 905 of the family's 1478-position model. The record is from RNAcentral. Lineage: Archaea; Thermoproteati; Thermoproteota.
CCCGCCGGACCCGACUGCUAUCGGAUAGAGAUUAAGCCAUGCAAGUCGAACAUUUCUUAACUAUGUAAGAAGUGUGGCAUACGGCUCAGUAACACGUGGUCAACCUACCCUAAAGACAUGGAUAACCCCGGGAAACUGGGAUUAAUAUAUGAUAGGUCAUUUUUCCUGGAAUCGGUUUAUGACUUAAAGGAUUGUUGAGCAAGUUUGAUUAAUUGCUUUAGGAUGGGACUGCGACCGAUCAGGUUGUUGGUGGGGUAAUGGCCUACCAAGCCGAUUACCGGUGCGGGCUUUGAGAGAAGGAGCCUGGAGAUGGACACUGAGAAAAGGGUCUAGGCCCUACGGGGCGCAGCAGGCGCGAAAACUUUGCAAUGUGCGAAAGCACGACAAGGUUAAUCCGAGUGCAACAUGCUGAAUGUAGCUUUUGGUAAAUGUAAAUAUUUUAUUGAAUAAGGGGAGGGAAAGUCUGGUGUCAGCCGCCGCGGUAAUACCAGCUCCCCGAGUGGUCGGGACGAUUAUUGGGCCUAAAGCAUCCGUAGCCGGUUCUGUAGGUCUUAUGUUAAAAUCAAUUGCUUAACAAUUGAACUGCAUGAGAUACCACAAAACUAGGAGGCGGGAGAGGUGGACGGUAUUCCACGGGUAGGGGUAAAAUCCUCUGAACCGUGGAGGACCACCAGUGGCGAAGGCGGUCCACCAGAACGCGCUCGACGGUGAGGGAUGAAAGCUGGGGUAGCGAACCGGAUUAGAUACCCGGGUAGUCCCAGCUGUAAACGAUGCAAGCUAGGUGAUGCAUUAGCCACGUGUUAAUGCAGUGCCGCAGGGAAGCCGUUAAGCUUGCCGCCUGGGGAGUACGGUCGCAAGGCUGAAACUUAAAGGAAUUGGCGGGGGAGCACCACAAGGGGUGAAGCCUGCGGUUCAA